This 253-nucleotide ribosomal RNA is filed under the name uncultured bacterium. RNAcentral's name for it is "partial 16S ribosomal RNA". It matches the Rfam family "Bacterial small subunit ribosomal RNA", at positions 524 to 776 of the family's 1533-position model. The record is from RNAcentral.
UACAGAGGUCCCGAGCGUUGUUCGGAUUCAUUGGGCGUAAAGGGUGCGCAGGCGGCAGGGUAAGUCUGAUGUGAAAUCCCGGGGCUCAACCCCGGAACUGCACUGGAUACUGCUCUGCUUGAGUACUGGAGAGGAAACUGGAAUUUACGGUGUAGCAGUGAAAUGCGUAGAGAUCGUAAGGAAGACCAGUGGCGAAGGCGAGUUUCUGGACAGUUACUGACGCUGAGGCACGAAGGCCAGGGGAGCAAACGGG